Non-coding RNA from Drosophila takahashii, 542 nucleotides. The record is from RefSeq and is a predicted model, not a curated record. NCBI's taxonomy places the organism in Eukaryota, Metazoa, Arthropoda, Insecta, Diptera, Drosophilidae.
AGAUCUAGUAAACGGAUUACACUUCCCAUUCCAAAGUAUUGCCAAAACAUUCGUGAGUACACACUUAAAGAGUGUUCACCGUAAUCAAAAAGUGCUGCGUUUUCUAGCACUACCCCUUUUCAAAACAAAAACCGACGCCAUGGAAAGUCUAUCGCUGCAGCAGUUGAUCGAUCUGCAAAACAUCCAAAAGGAGCUAAACAGCAACAAGGACGUCUACCUAAAGCUUUACCGUCAAGUGCUCAAAGACAAAUUCAAAACAGAACUAAACAAUUUGGUAUGUGAGUCGUACAAUAACAAAACGGAGCCCUAUAAAAAUAUUGGUAAUCCCACAGGUGCGAGCUGAUUUCGACAUAGUAAAAUCGGAACUAAAAGUUCCACAAUUGCCACCCCUCCCUAUUGAAGACGAGUCAACGCAAUCCACGACACAGUUCAGUGAUGUGGUGAAGGACUACGACUUUACCAUGGACUGCUUGUCCUUGCUGUAGGACUGCUCCGAUCGAUCCGUGGUGCUGUUCAGCCAAUAUCCAUGCAGGACGCGAUAU